CUUACCUCUACUCCAUCAUCAAAUGAUUUGGGGAAGAAAAUAGCUUUCUGCAUUCCUCUUGCAAUUCAGGAUCACAAAUGCAGAAAUUCAGAAUGCUGCACAAAACAGAGCUUCACCAUUGGCCUGGGAACUGCAUUGUAGGAUUUCAGUCUGUAAGAGACACUUUCUAGAAGCAAGUAAUAUCUAGUGUCUAUUGCAUCUAACAUGCCAGUGGGGAGAAAGAUUUCCUCAAAACUGUAACUAAGCUAGAAAUUCCCUACCUGAUUUGGCAGAAAGGAAGAGUUAUUUAGAAAUAUUUGCAUAACUAGCUUUUGGUAAGCUUUUUUGAAACUGUUUUACAUUAUUCAUAGAUAAUGUGACCAAUGCUAUGAACUCUGGAUUCCCAGAAAUUAACACAUUUGAUGAUGGAGUAGAGGUAAGCCUAGAAAAAGGUUUCUUAUCUUUCUCCUCAUCUGACAUCUCAUUCCCAAAUACAGUUAUUUUGUCUCCAUAAUGUCUUUCUGUACUUUUGCAGCCAUAUUAGUAACAUAUGGCACUGCUUUCAAGUUGGUUUUGCUUUUAGGAUCCUUGUUUAGAGAUACUACCUUAUAUUACUUUACAUUUGUGGACCCUUUUUAGGUAGCCCAUGGACCUCCUGAUAAGCGUAGACAACAGCUGAGAAAUGACUGCAGUAAUCUUACUCAGUGAAAGGCGCCUAUUCUGAUAUUGUGUGAAUAGUGUGAAAUGCAGGAAAUGCCACCUUUUCCUUGUGCUAGUUGAAGGUCCCAAGCUUACAUUAUUUAGCUGUGGAGACACUUCCAUAUAGGUCUCCAUACAUUAGUCAGGUAGGAAUGGGGCUUGAAAAGCAACACUCAACACAAAGGAAUGAGAUGCCAUUGCACAAGGUAUAUCAAAUGUAAUUUUUGCAGUUUUGGCUGAGGAAAAUCUUCCUACAGAUUUAAAAACUCACUACUAUCUCACUGGAAAUGCAGUCACUAAGUGACCAAAUAUUAUUGGAGAGCAGGAAACAUUGCUUUGACUACAGUACGUACUACCAAAAGCUGGAUAAUUGCUUCAGAGAAUAUAUCCCAUAUAGGUAUAGUUUCUUUCUUCCCAGUAUUUACCCAAAGGAACUUCUUGCUUAUUAAAGCAUAUUCUUGAAUAAAAAGCAUAAUCUUGAAUAAAAAGACAUUUAACUGAAUUAGAAUAAGCUUUAAGCUAUUGCUUUCUGUCAUUUAAAACAAUAUAUAAGAAAACAAAAU
Molecule: long non-coding RNA, 1241 nt
Filed under: Gallus gallus (chicken)
Lineage: Eukaryota; Metazoa; Chordata; Aves; Galliformes; Phasianidae
Description: lncRNA (ENSGALG00010025730.1)
Source: RNAcentral